UUCAUACUGAGUAUAUAGUACGCAUCAAAUUUGAAGUUAAACUCUGCAUGAGUCAAUGCCAUCCAUAGUGCUUUGCUGCCCGGAAUAUGAGUCACUGGUUAAUUGGUUAUUAUGGACGCUUUGUUUUUUUUUUGUUUUUGGACAACAAUCUUUACACGCCAGUUCGCUAUUAAUUAUCUGUUCGAAUUUAUACAUUUAUCACUAUAUUGAUAUAGUGAUAAAAAAUAUGAUGACAAACACGAAUAUACCGUUAUGUAAAUCAGUGGUUAAUGUUCUAGAAAUUAAAAGUUAGUUGCACGUGUUUUUAGAAGCAUUAGAGGAAAUCAUGGCCCCAUCUGAAAUGUUUAUAAUGUUUAGGGAAUUUUUAUAUAUGAGAUCCAUAGACUGAAUGAAGGUGAAAGCACCCCCAGUCGUUUCUUUGUUUUUCUUAUGUCAAAUGGACGGGAGAAAAUGGGCUGAAAGAUGAAAGAUGAAAGGUACACAAAGAUGCCCCAACGGCAAGAACUCCAGAAAUAUUCCUUUGGCUGGACCCCAUGUGUCCACAACAAACUACAACUAAAACAAGUGCUUGCAACUAACUUUGUCAUAUCCUAGCUGACUACUUCCUGUUACCCCCUAAUCUUCGUUAGUUGCUCCUUUGUGGAAAAAAAAUCUUUGUUAAUUGCUCAGUAGAACCUUAAACUCGUGGGCCAUUAAGUUCACCCAACCAUGAACCAUAUAUUGCCAAUCAUUAAGCAUGUGAGUUGCAGCCACUUUGACUAAGCUGACAGCUGAUCAAUUCUCAAACGAGGCCAGG
This 796-nucleotide long non-coding RNA is filed under the name Setaria viridis. RNAcentral's name for it is "long non-coding RNA (SVIR_LNC002551)". The record is from RNAcentral. Lineage: Eukaryota; Viridiplantae; Streptophyta; Magnoliopsida; Poales; Poaceae.